This 309-nucleotide ribosomal RNA is filed under the name uncultured fungus. RNAcentral's name for it is "SSU rRNA". It matches the Rfam family "Eukaryotic small subunit ribosomal RNA", at positions 39 to 352 of the family's 1831-position model. RNAcentral also lists the same sequence under 1 other name. The record is from RNAcentral. Lineage: Eukaryota; Fungi.
AAAGAUUAAGCCAUGCAUGUCUAAGUAUAAGCAACUAUACGGUGAAACUGCGAAUGGCUCAUUAAAUCAGUUAUCGUUUAUUUGAUAGUACCUUACUACAUGGAUAACCGUGGUAAUUCUAGAGCUAAUACAUGCUAAAAACCUCGACUUCGGAAGGGGUGUAUUUAUUAGAUAAAAAACCAAUGCCCUUCGGGGCUCCUUGGUGAAUCAUAAUAACUUAACGAAUCGCAUGGCCUUGCGCCGGCGAUGGUUCAUUCAAAUUUCUGCCCUAUCAACUUUCGAUGGUAGGAUAGUGGCCUACCAUGGUAU